GGCCUAAAACAUGCAAGUCGAACGCCCUAGCAAUAGGGAGUGGCGCACGGGUGCGUAACAUGUGGGAAUAUGCCUUUUGGUACGGAACAACCUCGGGAAACUGAGGCUAAUACCGUAUGGUCCCUUCGGGGUAAAGAUUUAUCGCCAAAAGAGUAGCCCGCACUGGAUUAGCUAGUUGGUGAGGUAAUGGCUCACCAAGGCGACGAUCCGUAGCAGGUCUGAGAGGAUGAUCUGCCACACUGGGACUGAGACACGGCCCAGACUCCUACGGGAGGCAGCAGUGGGGAAUUUUGGACAAUGGGCGAAAGCCUGAUCCAGCCAUGCCGCGUGAGUGAAGAAGGCCUUCGGGUUGUAAAGCUC
This 360-nucleotide ribosomal RNA is filed under the name uncultured organism. Its description in RNAcentral is "bacterial SSU rRNA". It matches the Rfam family "Bacterial small subunit ribosomal RNA", at positions 45 to 433 of the family's 1533-position model. The record is from RNAcentral.